GCGCGCCGCCUCCUCCCGCCGCAGCCCCACCUCUUCUCAGUACUACUGUGGUGCCCGGGUCAGAAGGCCCGAGGCUGCAGAGGCGCGUCGGGAGAGCCUGAUAACCAAAGGUGGCAGGUCAGUCAGCUCCACUCUACCAGAAUAGAAGACAUCAAUCAUUCAGCCUCCGUUCACUCAGAACCUCAGAUAAAACAAUGAGGUCAGUUCUUGUAUGGAUUUGGACAAAGAUGAAUAUAUUUGAAGACUUUAGCAGCCAUCCACUCCAGGUCUUUCAUUUUAAAGGAAACAUCAAUGACCAGAGACUCAACAGUAAUCCACAUUACACAUACGAUUCUGCUGAAAUGAUUUCUCUGCUGGUAUUUACUUCAGAGUUUAUCUAGGAUCAAGUUAAAAGCAAAGAGCAGUAACUGAGUGAUCGUCUGACUCCUUCCAAGUCUUCGAUGUUAACUAUAAAUGGAUCCAUCCACUGCUCACAUAAUUUACUAUGUGGUGAUCUCUUUCAAAUAAUAUUCUCAAAAUUUUUUUCAGUACAAUUUAUGGCAGAAUAAAUCCUUAAAAAAUACUUUAUAAGAAACAAAGAGAAGGACUGAAUAGCUGGCUUAGUGGUUAAGAGCACUGACUGCUCUUCUAGAUGCCCUGGGCUCAGUUCCUAGUACCUACAUGGCAGCUAACAACUAUCCAUGACUCCAGU
This is a long non-coding RNA of Nannospalax galili (Upper Galilee mountains blind mole rat), 691 nucleotides long. RefSeq lists it as uncharacterized. Lineage: Eukaryota; Metazoa; Chordata; Mammalia; Rodentia; Spalacidae. The transcript has 3 exons. The record is from RefSeq and is a predicted model, not a curated record.